Molecule: ribosomal RNA, 498 nt
Filed under: uncultured bacterium
Lineage: Bacteria
Description: bacterial SSU rRNA
Rfam family: Bacterial small subunit ribosomal RNA
Source: RNAcentral
AGAGUUUGAUCAUGGCUCAGGAUGAACGCUAGCGGGAGGCCUAACACAUGCAAGCCGAGCGGUAUUGUUCUUCGGAAAUGAGAGAGCGGCGUACGGGUGCGGAACACGUGUGCAACCUGCCUUUAUCUGGGGGAUAGCCUUUCGAAAGGAAGAUUAAUACUCCAUAAUAUAUUGAACGGCAUCGUUUAAUAUUGAAAGCUCCGGCGGAUAGAGAUGGGCACGCGCAAGAUUAGCUAGUUGGUGAGGUAACGGCUCACCAAGGCAAUGAUCUUUAGGGGGCCUGAGAGGGUGAUCCCCCACACUGGUACUGAGACACGGACCAGACUCCUACGGGAGGCAGCAGUGAGGAAUAUUGGUCAAUGGGUGCAAGCCUGAACCAGCCAUCCCGCGUGAAGGACGACUGCCCUAUGGGUUGUAAACUUCUUUUGUAUAGGGAUAAACCUUUCCACGUGUGGAAAGCUGAAGGUACUAUACGAAUAAGCACCGGCUAACUCCGUG